GCGCCGAUGGUUUAAGGGUAGAAUUUAUGCUUCCCAUGUGGUUCCCACAGCAUCGAAUAAGCAUGAGGUCCGAGUUCGAGUCUCGGUCGGCGCA
Molecule: non-coding RNA, 94 nt
Organism: Xylona heveae TC161
Lineage: Eukaryota; Fungi; Ascomycota; Xylonomycetes; Xylonales; Xylonaceae
Source: the annotation of a RefSeq genome assembly